This 6886-nucleotide long non-coding RNA is filed under the name Carica papaya (papaya). RNAcentral's name for it is "long non-coding RNA (CPAP_LNC000534)". The record is from RNAcentral. Lineage: Eukaryota; Viridiplantae; Streptophyta; Magnoliopsida; Brassicales; Caricaceae.
UUCUCUAAACCGUCUCCUGCAAAUAGAUGAUCUCAAGUUUUAAUCUACUCAUAUGUCUUCUAAUUACCUGUCUUUUAUAUGAUCAAUUAUUUUCCUAACACCUUGUUUGCUUUUCUUUUUUAUUAUUUGCUCUUCAUUCCUUACCUUUUCUCUCAUUUUACUCUAAAUCACUUUAAAUAACUUCAUCGCCUUAUCAUCGAAGCCCUCUAAACCUUAUAUUGUAGUCUCCUGCAAACAAAUGAUAUCAUUUUUUAAUCUGCUCAUACAUUCUCUAAUAUCUUGUCUUUUUUUUAUGAUCAUUUAUUCUCCUAACAUUUCAGAAUAUGAUGUGCCCCAACGUUGAUUAAUUAUUGUCCAAUAUCCCCUCAUUUUUCUUUCCACCUUUGCAGUUUCCUAGAUCCUUCACACCUUAUUUGCUUUUUUUUUUGUUUUUUGCUCCUCAUUCCUUAACUUUUUUCGGCUUCUACUCUAAAUAUCCUUAAACAACUCCAUUGCCUUAUCCUCAAAACACUCUGAGCUCUUUAUUUUAGUUUACUGCAAACAUAUGAUCUCUAAUUUUAAUGCUCAUACAUUCUCUAAUUACCUGUCUUUUUCUAUGAUCAUUUAUUCUUCUAACAUUUCAGGAUACGAUGAGCCCCAACAUUGAUUGAUUGUCCAAUGUCAUCGUUCUUUUCAUUCCACCAUGCCCUGGGAUACUAUGUGCCCCAACAUUGAUUAAUUUUCAUCCAAAUUCUUCUUCCUUUUCUUUCCACCAUGUCUUUUAAUAUAAUUGAUACUGAACUAUAGCAUUUGCAGUUCCCUAGAUCCCUUAACACCUUGUUUGGUUUUAUUUUAAUUUUUUUUUUUGCUCCUCAGACCUUACCUAUUCUUUCCUACUUUAAAUCUCUUUAAAAAAUUCCAUUACCUUGUGCUUACUUGACCCUUCAUUUUAGUUUCGUGCAAACAGAUCAUCUCUAGUUUUAAUCUGCUCAUAUAUCAUCUAAUUACAUGCCCUUUUCUAUGAUCAUUCAUUCUCCUAACAUUUUAGGAUAUGAUGCGCCUCAAUAUUUAUUAUUUAUCUUCCAAUAUCCCCUCUCUUUUCUUUCCACCAUGCCUCGGGUUACCAUAGUUGAUAUUGAAUAGCCGUUGUAGUUCCUUAGAUCCCUUUAUACCUUGUUUGCUUUUCUUUUUUUUAUGCUCCUCAUUCCUUACCUUUUCUCACCUACUUUAAAUCUCUUUACACAACUCCAUUGCCUUAUCCUCUAAAUCUUUUAAUCUCUCUUUUGUUUUUUGCUCCUCAUUUCCUACAUUUUCUCUUAUUUUAUUCUAGAUCUCUUUAAACAACUCCAUUGCCUUAUCUUCUAAACCCUUUCAUCUCUUUUUUAUUUUUUGCUCGUCAUUUCUUACCCUUUCUCUCCUUCUACUAUAAAUCUCUUUUAACAACUCCAUUUUCUUAUCCUCUAAACCAUCUAAGUCCUCUAUUUUAGUCUACUGCAAGCAAAUGAUUUUUGGUUUUAAUUUGCUCAAACAUCUUCUAAUUGCCUGUUUUUUUCUUUGGUCAUUUGUUCUCCUAACAUUACAGGAUACGAUGUGCCCCAACAUUUAUUAAUUGUUAUCCAAUAUCUCCUCCUUUUUCUUUUCACCAUGCCUUAGGUUACCAUUUUUAAUGCUAAACUAAAGCCUUUACAGUUCCCUAGAUCCCUUCAUACCUUGUUUGCUUUUCUUUUUUGUUUUUUACUCCUCAUUUUGUACCUUUUCUCUCAUACUCUAUAUCUCUUUAGACAAUUUCCUUGCCUUAUCCUCUAAACCUUUUAAUAUCUUUUUUUUUAAACUUCUCAUUCAUUUCCUUUUAUGUCCUACUUUAAAUCUCUUUAAACAACUUUACUGUCUUAUCCUCUAAACUCUUUAAUCUCUUUUUUGUUUUCCCCCCUUAUUCCGUACAUUUUUUUUUUUACUCUAAAUCUCUUUAAACAACUCCAUUACCUUAUGAACCAUCUAAACCUUCUAUUUUAGUCUACUACAAACAAAUGAUUUCUGGUUUUAAUAUGCUCAUACAUCUUCUAAUUACUUGUCUUUUUCGAUGAUCAUUUAUUCUCCUAACAUUUCAGGUUAUGAUGUACCCCAACAUUGAUUAAUUGUCAUCCGAUAUCCGAUUUCCCCUUCCUUUUCUUUUCACCAUGCCCUAGGUUACCAUAAUACUAAACUACAUCCUUUUUUCUCCUUCUAUUCUAAAUCUCUUUUAAUAAUUCCUUUGCAUUUUCAUCUAAACCCCUUAAACCUCCCCAUUUUAGUCUCCUGCAAAUAGAUGAUCUCUAGUUUUAAUCUGCUUGUACGUCCUCUAAUUACAUACCUUUUCUUUAUGAUCAUUCAUUCUCCUAACAUUUCAGGAUUUGUUGCGCCUGAAUAUUGAUUAAUUAUCUUUCAAUAUCUUCUCUCUUUUCUUUCCAUCGUGCCUUGGUUUACCAUAGUUGAUACUGAACUGUAGCCUUUGUAAAUCCCUAGAUCCGUUUAUAUCUUGUUUGCUUUUCUUUUUUGUUUUUGCUCCUCAUUCCUUACUUUUUUUCUCCUUCUACUCUGAAUUUCUUUAAACAAUUCGAUUGUCUUAUCCUCUAAACGCUUAAUCUCUUUUUUGUUUUUUGCCGCUCAUUCCUUACCCUUUCUCUCCUUUUGCUUUAAAUCUCUUUAAAUAAGUCCAUUGCCUUAUCCUCCAAACUUUUAAUUUCUUUUUUGUUUUUUGCUCCUCAUUCCUUACCUUUUCUCUCUUUCUANNNNNNNNNNNNNNNNNNNNNNNNNNNNNNNNNNNNNNNNNNNNNNNNNNNNNNNNNNNNNNNNNNNNNNNNNNNNNNNNNNNNNNNNNNNNNNNNNNNNNNNNNNNNNNNNNNNNNNNNNNNNNNNNNNNNNNNNNNNNNNNNNNNNNNNNUUCCAUUUUAUUCUCUUACAAGCAUAUGAUCUCUAAUUUUAAUCAGUUGAUACAUCUUCUAAUUACAUGUCUUUUUCUAUGAUCAUUUAUUCACCUUAAAUUUUAGGAUAUAAUGAGUUCCAACAUUGGUUUGUUGCCCUCCUUUUUAUUUCCACCAUGCCUCGGGUUACCAUAGUUGAUACUGAACUACAACCUUUGUAGUUUCCUAGAUCCCUUAAUACGAUGUUUUCUUUUCUUUUUUGUUUUUUGCUUCUCAUUCGUUACCUUUUCUCUCCAUCUACUCUAAAUCUCUUUAAUCAACUCUAUUGUCUUAUCCUCUAAACUCUUUAAUCUCUUUUUUAUUUUUUGCUUUUCAUUUCUUUCCUUUUCUCUCCUUCUACUCUAAAUCUUUUUAAAUGACUCUAUUACCUUAUCCUCUAAACUGUAAGUCCUUUAUUUUAGUCUAUUACAAGCAAAUAAUUUUUGAUUUUAAUAUGCUCAUACAUCCUCUAAGUACUUGUCUUUUUCUAUGAUCAUUUAUUCUCUUAACAUUUCAGGAUACGAUGUGCUCCAAUAUUAAUUAAUUAUCAUUCAAUUUCCUGUCUCUUUUCUUUCCACCAUGCCUCGAGCUAUCAUAGUUGAUAUUGAACUACAGCCUUUGUAGUUACCUAGAUCCCUUUAUACCUUGUUUGCUUUUCUUCUUUGCUUUUUGUUCCUCAUUUCUUGCCUUUUAGCUCCUUCUACUCUAAAUCUCUUUAAACAAUUCCAUUGCCUUAUCCUCUAAACUCUCUAAACCCCCCAUCUUAGUCUCUUACAAAUAGAUGGUUUGUGUUUUUAAUUUGCUUAUACAUCCUCUAAUUAAAUAUCUUUUUCUAUGAUCAUUCAUUCUCCCAACUUUUUAGGAUCUGAUGCACCUCAACAUUGAUUAAUUGUCUUUCAAUAUCCCCUCUCUUUUCCUUUCACCAUGCUUCGAGUUACAAUAGUUGAUGCUGAACUACAGCUUUUGCAGUUUCCUAGAUUCCUUUAUACCUUAUUUGCUUUUCCUUUCUGUUUUUUGUCCUCAUUCAUUACCUUUUCUCUCAUUCUACUGUAAAUCUAUAUAAACAACUCCAUUGCCUUAUCCUUUAAACCCUUGAAUCUCUUUUUUUUUUUUUUGCUUCUCAUUCAUUACCUUUUCCUCUUAUUCUACUCUAAAUCUCUUUAAACAAUUCUAUUGAGUUAUCCUCUAAACUCUUUAAUGUCUUUUUUGUUUUUUUGCUGCUCACGUGUUACCUUUUCUCUCAUUCGACUAUAAAUCUCUUUAAACAACUCUAUUACUUUAUCGUCUAAGCAAUCUAAACCCUCUAUUUUAGUCUACUGCCAACAAAUAAUCUUUGUUUUUAAUAUGUUUAUACAUCAUCUAAUUACAUGUCUUUUUCUAUGAUCAUUUAUUCUCAUAAUAUUUCAAGAUACGAUGUGCCCCCAUUUUAGUUUCUUGCAAACAGAUGAUCUUUAGUUUUAAUAUGCUCUUACAUUCUCUAAUUAAAUGUCUUUUUCAAUGAUCAUUCAUUCUCCAAACAUUUCAUGAUUUGAUGUGCCUCAACAUAGAUUAAUUAUCUUCCAAUAUCCCCUCUCUUUUCCUUCCACCAUGCCUCGAGUUAUAAUAGUUGAUACUGAACUACAGCCUGUGCAGUUUCCUAGAUCCCUUUAUACAUUGUUUGCUUUUUUUUUGUUUUUUGGUCCUCAUUCCUUAUCUUUUCUCUCCUUCUACUCUAAAUUUCUAUAAACAACUCUGUUGUCUUAUCCUCUAAACCCUUUAAUUUUUUUGUUUUUGUUUUUUGUUUCUCAUUCCUUUCCUUUUCUCUCAUUCUACUCUAAAUUUCUCUAAACAAUUCUAUUGAGUUAUCCUCUAAACGCUUUAACCUCUUUUUUGUUUUUUACUCCUCAUGCAUUGCCUUUUCUGUCCUAAUAUAAAUCUGUUUAAACAACUCCAUUGCCUAAUCGACUAAACAGUCUAAACCCUAUAUUUUAGUCUACUUCAAACAAAUAAUCUUUGUUUCUAAUAUGUUCAUACAUUUUAGGAUCAUUUAUUUUCUCUCCUAAUCCCAUUACGUGUCUUUUUCUAUGAUCAUCUAUUUUCCUAACCUUUUAAGAUACAAUGUGCUCCCACUUUAGUCUUUUGCAAACAGAUGAUCUCUAGCCUGUUCUUACAUCCUCUAAUUAAAUGUCUUUUUCUAUGAUCAUUCUUUCUCCUAACUUUUCAGAAUAUGAUGUGCCUCAUUCCUUAUAUUUUCUCUGAUUCUACUCUAAAUCUCUUUAAACAACUCCAUUGAGUUAUCCUUUAAACCCUUUAAUCUAUUUUUUAUUUUUUGCUUCUCAUUCCUUACCUUUUCUCUUCUUAUUCUAUGAUCAUUUUCUCCUAACAGACUAAACCUUCUAUUUUAGUUUACUACAAACAAAUGAUCUCUGUUUUUAAUUUGUUCAUACAUAAUCUAAUUACAUGUCAUUUUCUAUGAUAAUUUAUUCUUCGAACAUUUCAGGAUACGAUAUGCCCCCAUUUUAAUCUCUUGCAAACAGAUGAUCGCUGGUUUUAAUACGCUCUUAUAUCCUCUAAUUAAAUGUCUUUUUCUAUGAUCAUUCAUUGUCUUAACUUUUCAGGGUAUGAUGCGCUUCAACAUUGAUUAAUUGUCUUUCAAUAUCCUCGCUCUUUUCUUUAUACCAUGCCUCAGAUUUACCAUAGCUGAUACUAAACUACAACCUUUGCAGUUCCCUAGAUCCAUUUAUAUCUUGUUUUCUUUUCCAUUUUGUUUUUUGUUCCUUAUUCCUUGCCUUUUCUCUCAUUCUCCUCUAAAUCUCUUUAAACAACUUCGUUGUCUUAUUCUCUAAAUCCUUUAAUUUCUUUUUUGUUUUUUACUCCUCAUUUUUUUCUUUUUCUCUCAUUCUAGUCUAAAUCUCUUUAAAUAAUUCCGUUAUCUUAUCCUCUAAACCCUCUCAUCUCUUUUUCGGUUUUUGCUCCUCAUUCCUUACUUUUUCUCUCUUUCUACUCUAAAUCUCUUUAAACAACUUCAUUGCCUUAUCCUCUAAACAGUCUAAGCUCUCUAUUUUAGUAUCCUGUAAACAAAUGAUCUCAUGUUUUCAUCUGUUCUAAUUACCAGUCUUAUUCUAUAAUCAUUUAUUCUCCUAACAUUUCAGGAUAUUAUGUGCUCAUAUUUUGUCUCCUGCAAAUAGAUGAUCUCCGUUUUUACUAUGUUCAUGCAUCCUCUAAUUAAAUAUUUUUUUCAAUGAUCAUUUAUUUUCCUAACUUUUUAGGAUAUGGUAUGCCUCAACAUUGAUUAAUUGUCUUCCAUAGUUGAUACUGAACUACAUCUUUUGCAUUUUGUUUUUUGCUCUUCAUUCCUUACCUUUUCUCUCAUUCUGCGUUAAAUCUCUUUAAACAACUCUAAUGACUUAUCCUCUAAACUUUUUAUGCUCUUUUUUGUUUUUUUCUCAUCAUUCCUUAUUUUUUCUCUCAUUUUACUCCAUAUCUUUUUAAACAACUUUAUUGCCUUGACCUAAUCCUUUAAUCUCUUUUUUGUUUUUGGUCCUCAUUCCUUACAUUUUCUCUCCUACUCUAAAUCUCUUUAAACAACUCCAUUGCCUUAUCCUCUAAACCCUUUACUUUUUUUGUUUCUUGAUCCUCAUUCCUUACUUUUUCUCUUAUUUUACUCAAAAUCUUUUUAAACAACUCCAUUGCCUUGUCCUCUAAAUUCUUUUAUCUCUUUUUUGUUUUUCGCUCUUCAUUCCUUACUUUUUCUCUCAUUCUACUCCAAAUCAUUUUAAACAACUCCAUUGCCUUGUUUUCUAAAUCUUUAAAUCUCUUUUUUGUUUUUGCUUCUCAUUCCUUACAUUUUCUUUCUUACUCUAAAUCUCUUUAAACAACUUUGUUGUCUUAUCCUCUAAACCCUUUAAUCUCUUUUUUGUUUCUUGCUCCUCAUUCCUUACAUUUUCUCUCCUACUCUAAAUCUCUUUGAACAACUCCGUUGCCUUAUC